Molecule: ribosomal RNA, 253 nt
Filed under: uncultured bacterium
Lineage: Bacteria
Description: partial 16S ribosomal RNA
Rfam family: Bacterial small subunit ribosomal RNA
Source: RNAcentral
GACGAAGGGGGCUAGCGUUGUUCGGAAUUACUGGGCGUAAAGCGCGCGCAGGCGGCUAUCCAAGUCAGUGGUGAAAGCCCGGAGCUCAACUCCGGAACUGCCAUUGAAACUGUUUAGCUUGAGGACGAGAGAGGUGAGUGGAAUUCCCAGUGUAGAGGUGAAAUUCGUAGAUAUUGGGAAGAACACCGGUGGCGAAGGCGGCUCACUGGCUCGUAUCUGACGCUCAGGCGCGAAAGCGUGGGGAGCAAACAGG